Molecule: ribosomal RNA, 546 nt
Filed under: uncultured bacterium
Lineage: Bacteria
Description: partial 16S ribosomal RNA
Rfam family: Bacterial small subunit ribosomal RNA
Source: RNAcentral
CUNANACGCUGNCGGCGUGNNUAGACUGCANGUCGCACGAACGAACCGAUUGAGUAAUCAUGAGGUAAGUUAGUGGCGAAAGGGUGAGUAAUGCGUAGGCAACGUACCCCAGACUCCGGAAUAGCUGCGGAACUUCGGUUCCUUUGCGAAGGUGCAGGUAAUACCGGAUAAGCUCUUAGUGUCGCCUGGCACACAGAGAAAAGGUUUACUUGGUUUGGGAGCGGCCUACGUCGUAUCAGCUUGUUGGUGAGGUAACGGCUUACCAAGGCUUCGACGCGUANCGGGACCGAGAGGUUGAUCCGCCACAUUGGGACUGAGACACUGCCCAGACUCCUACGGGGGGCUGCAGUAACGAAUCUUGCGCAAUGGACGAAAGUCUGACGCACAACGCCGUGUGUAGGAAGAAGCUCCUCGGAGUGUAAACUACUGUCANAGUGAANAAAGAUCUGAUCGAUCUCAAAGGAAGGUCCGCUACUUCUGCCACCACCNCGGUAUACAAAGGACCANCCUUNUCNGAAUCUUGGCUUAACCCACCNGCCGACUGUC